This is a long non-coding RNA of Gallus gallus (chicken), 10490 nucleotides long. RefSeq lists it as uncharacterized. The transcript is spliced from 2 exons. The record is from RefSeq and is a predicted model, not a curated record. Lineage: Eukaryota; Metazoa; Chordata; Aves; Galliformes; Phasianidae.
GCCAUUUGCCUCACUUACUCCUGGGGUCUGCGUGAGCAUCUGGCCCCGACCUGGUAAAGGGUCGGUUUUGCCCAGCAGUAAGCCCUACACGUGGACAGAGGACGAACACCGGACGAGCGAACGGAGACCACAUGCAACAAUCUCAAAGGGAAUUCCUAAAGGUUUCUUCAUCUUUAAUGAGAAAAAUGGCCAUGCAGUGCUCUUGAACCAACUUACUUCCAUACCUAGUCAGGUCAAAGCAAAGUUCUGUCUGCACUGUCUUACCUGGAGCCUACUGGAAGACCUUCUUGCUACAGCUACAAGAAGCACUGUGUCCACAGGCUUUCAUUUUGAUGGAGGAAUUCAAACUCCUGGAGUGCAUUCGGAGAAGUUUCCUGGCCUAGCUAUCAGACAAACCAACCAGAGGAGAAGCAUUACCUGACCAGACACUCACCAUACAAAGGAGAUCAUUAAAUAUAUUAAGAGGUACUGUGAGCUGUAGUGAUAGUGCUCUGAUUAUGUUUGUGAUCUCAAGGAAUAUGGGCAUGGCAAAGAACAGAGACAGGACUCCGCACUUCAGAAGAGUGAUAUUCCAGCUGUUUAAGGAAUUACUGGAUGAGAUCCCCUGGGAAGCUGUCCUCGGAGACAGUGGAGCAGAGCAGAGCUGGCAGCUCUAUAAGGACACCUUUCUGACAACAUAAGAGCUCUCUGUCCCUCAGCAUAAGAAAUCAAGAAGAGGAGGGAGGAAACCAGCAAGAUUGAGUGAGGACCUGCUGGUCAAAAUGAGAAAUAAGAAGGAAAUUCACAGUUAAUGGAAUCAGGAAUGAGUGGCCUGGAAAGAAUACAGGAUUCCAUCUAGACAUGAAGAGAUGGGAUCAGGAAAGAUAAGGCACAGAUGGAACUGCAUUUGGUGAGGGAUGGGAAAAAUAAGAUGGUGGAAUAGAACCUCCUGGAAGCUAUCUUAAGACACAUGUGAGGCAAGGUGAUCUGUGACAAAGAACAUGGUCUUGUCAUGGGCAGAUCACACCUGACCGAUCUGGUGGCCCUCUACGAUGGAGUGUUGGCAUCAGUAGAAGAAAGAGGAGAAACUGGUAUCAUCUAACUGGAAUUCAGCAAAGUAUUUGAUACGAUCCCACACACCAUCCUUAUCCCUAAAUUGGGGAGAUAUGGACUUGAAGGCUGGACUAUUCAGUGGAUAAGGAAUUGGUUGUACAGCGUCAGCCAGAGGGUUGGGGUCAAUGGCUUCAGGUGAUGAGUGGUGUCCCCCAGGGGUCUGUCCUGGGACCGGUGCUUUUCAACAUCUUUAUCAACAACCUAGACAGUAGGAUUAAGAACACUCUCAGCAAGUUUGCUAAGCUGAGUGGUGCAGUUCAUAGAACAGAAAUAAGGGUUGCCAUCCAGAGGGACCUGGGCAAGUUUGAAAAAUUUUGAGAAACUCCUUGUAGGAAGUUUAUGCAUGAUAAAUGAUUAUGAUAUCUGAGUUCCAAUUGGGGAACACUGCUGUAUUUGUGAUGACUUGCUAGGAGUGUGUCAUUUUAGAUCUUGGAGACCUGUCUUUUGUAAUGGGAGCCUGCAAAUGCCCCCAACAAAUUCUUGUCACUGGAGCUGAACAGAUCAUCUGCAUAGUGAACUGUUAGUGCAUAAACUGAUGUUUCCAGAUACCUGCGGUAGAUAUCAAUUAAACCACAGAAAUCUAAUUGUACUUUACAAGAGCUGUAGCACUGUACUGACAAUUAAUUUCAAAUACAUUAAUGGACUUAGAGAUAGGUGCCUGUACGACCACGUGGAAAUCCAAGAGCAGUACUACCUUGAAUUCUUUCUCAAAAAUGAGAGUUAUUGUGGCCACGUUGUUCCUUGGGCUGUGACCCUUACAGUGAUCUUACAUUGGUUGAUGGUUGUCUUUCUGAUCUGAGAAAAGAUAAACUAGAUAAAAUUCCUAAACAAAUAAGAGUAGCUUACUUUUGUGUUGGAUUUUACAUGAUACAGAUGUCCUUCUUACAUUCCCUACUUCCUUUUGCUUGUUCCUAACAUGUGCAUAACAAUAUGACAGCCAUAAAUUGUCAUGACACUUAAACAUAAAGCACCAUUUAAGUCCUUUAUCUUAUCUGCUACUUGGUUCAGGUAAAUAAGAAUAAUUAAUGGCAGCUACACUACCUAUAAUCGUUGUUAUGGCUCUGAAUUAGCUGAUUUUCUGUUCCAGAACCCCAGGGUGAGAGGCAGAAUGCUGGGGAGCAUGAGGGAGAACUUACCGAGUGUCAGCUGAGAUUCUGUGUAUGGAAAUGGAUGUUAGUGAAGGUUAGGACCUAGGACUAGGACAAGGACUGCUAUCGCUACUGCUUUAUUUCUUGUAGUCUGCAGUGCAGAAACAGUGAGCAAUCUGAAAGACUGACUGGCAGUGAGAAUCAUAGGGAAGAGGAAAAAAAGGGACAAGGAACAUAUAAUGCUCCAACCCUCCUCCCCACCUCCAAGUUAAUUCAGUGUGGGCUUUUCUUGAUCAAAGUUCCUACCCCACAAUAUAUUGUAAUUUAUGUGUGUCUGAGGCGUACAGUAAUGCUGAGCUAAUGUGGUUUUGUACUUAAGUAAACAUGUUUUCAGAGUUGCUAAUGCAUGACAGAAAGUGCUGGAUCGAAGUCUUUCCUGAAUUAGAAGAAAGAAAAACAGCUAUUAUAAAAGGAGAAGUGUGCCUGACUGAGUAAUGCUGUAUCAGAAAGUCUGCAAACAAGUAUCUUAGUCUUUGAUAAGGAUCUAUUUUUAUUAAUUCCUGGGCUGAAAACCAAAUAUCCCUUUUUAACCUGGGAUGUUCUGUAGAGCACACAGCUAGUGCUUUUCAAAUUUUUAUCCUGUUUCGUAAGGGUGGUAAAAGACAAUCCAUUUCAGGCUUUAGGAAUGUAAGACACAAACAUCCCAAAUAGGUUUUUAAUUAAACAUAUAUUACCUUAGUUCAUGAUAAAAGAGUAAACAGUGAUAUGUACUGUUAUGGGUAGGAUAUAAAUCAAAUACAACUACUAUAUUUCCAUAUCUAGUGGAGUCUCAGCAUUUUUUUAAUCUGUUUAUCAUGCAACUGAUUAAUAUAUCAUUAAACAAAAAAGGCAUGUUAUUUCUCAUUGUGAAAGGUCCUUUCAUAAUGUUCUUCUGGAAAUCUACUUGGGUAGAGGAGUAUAUCUGCAUACGUGACAGCACAGACAUGAGGUCUAAGUCCUACCAUUAGUGGCAUUUUCCUGCCAUUCUCUUAAAAUGAGAUAGUGAAAUAAAAUACUGACUUUGUUUGAUGUAUUUUUUAUGUAUGUUCUAAAGCACUUCAUCUGAUAAACUAUCAUGAGAAAUGGACCUUCCAUAGCAUUUCCUAAUACAGCACAUGGUUUGGAUCUAUAAAGUAAACCACAAUAAGAAAACCACGUGUUAACAGUGUGGGAACACCAAGAAGAGAAACCUUUCUUGCUGUGUUUUCAAUAUGAGAUUUCUAGAUAGACUAGCACCACUGAUGUCUCUUUCAUCAGUGAGAUAGAUCCCCAUGCUUGGUCAGAGUAACAAAGACAGCUUGAACCAGAAAAGUUAGAAAAUGGAGUGAAGUAUGGGGAAGGAAGCUUUGAUGUAAGCUGAUGAGCUCAGUGGGUAUUUCAUGGGUUCAUGUGUAUAGUAUCCUCAUACUAUAAUGAUGGAGAAGUUUGAAACUGAAAAACAAACAUAUCCAACAAAUCUCAGAGUAAAAACCCAAGUGGCAGAAUCCCUACUUUCCCAGAGUUAUGAGAAACACCGAGUUACACGCUGAGGAUCCAGACAUCAAGCCUCAGACAGCAUUAGACGAUUUCAAAUAAAAGCUAUCCAGUGCAAAAAUAACAGUGAUGGCUUAAGAAGUCCUUCAACCUUCAAAUCACUAGGGAAAAGAGGAGAUUAUUUUGGAGAUGUAAUACUGUGCGCUCAAUCUGAUUUUUCCAUUCUUCUCUGGACAGCCACUGCUAAAGGCAAGAUAAAUUUACCUGAAAGACCUUCUAAGUUACCUUGUUGGCUUGUUUUUAUCUUCUUUUUUCCUAAAUGUAAGUGUGAAAACAAGUAACACCUCACAAUUUGCAGACAGGGAAGAAAUGAGUGUAAAGAAAAUGCAGCAGAUGUGAGCCAAGACAGCGUCAGCUAGAGCUUCCUCCUUGAGUGUAGACCUGAUGCCAGCAGACGGGUAGUAAUUUUGUGACAGUAUAAAAACUCAUAGUCACUGAGAGGGUACAAGCACUUCCUAAAUACACACACACAAAACACAAUCAAAUCAUGAGAGUGGCUGGACCACAAGAUUAUCCACUGCUUGAAGCGAAUGAAGUCAAUGUGAGAGAUAAGAGUAUUCCGACUUAAGCACAUGCUUAAAUUUAUUAAGGCACUUAAAGUUAGGUGCGUGCUCAAGUGCUGUUACUUGAAUGACAAGUGGGUUUAAAGCAUUUUCCCAAGUUGGGACUUUGCAACAUUGAUAGUCAGCUAUGCAACUGGUGAAACUUAAAAUAGAUGCAUGCACACACAAAAAUGCAAAAAAGAGAGUUUCUUUUUAUGUCUGUCUGCUAUGCUUAGUGGGCUUUCUUGGCUAAGUCUGAGCUAAAUAUUACUGAAAAUAGCAUAGUACUGUAGUUAUUUCAAAGCACUGUCUGUAUUUGUUCUGUGCACUGGGUGGGCAGGAAGCUUCAUUUCAUAAAUCACUUUCAACGAGACAGUAGACUAUAAAAAGGGAGCGUUUUUUUCCCUUCAGUGUUUUUCAUUCUCAAGGUUCUGAUCUGGUACAGCCUACAUACUGGGAAAAGUUCAAAAAAUGUUUCCCACUGCUCUGCAGACCUUCCCUUGCACACAAGGGAUCUAGGGAACCACCAGCAGGCACCCCGUGCUAGUGAGUCCCCCAGGUCACGGUGCUUAACUUGCUAUGAGGCAUUUGUCAGCAAAACUGCCGAAGCAUCGUCCCAUUCCCAGCUCCAUGGAAAGGCCUCCACAAGAAGUUUCACAGCGCACUGUCUACACAGGGAACCUGUCUGGUCAAACCAUUGUCCAGCAAAAGAAAACAGGUUGGUUUUCAUGGGAGACGUGCAGAGAUGUGCAGGAAGGAGCAGUAGGGGAAAAGGGGUGAGGAAGAGGGGGGGAGAAAAGCUCGAAUGAUCCAUCAUUUCUCCUUAUAAAUUAUUUGUUAAAACUUUGUUAGAUUGAGCUUUACACUCAAAAAGGAGCCAAAUGCUCCUUGUGGUACUUACUGGGAACCAAAGGGUAAGAGAGACAGAUAUAGUCAUUCACCUGCAGCAAGGGAAAAGUUGCUGCCUGAUUCAACCCACUGAGUCACAACUUUUCCAUUUAAUAUUAAUAAAAAUGGGGUUCCGCACACCAGUACCUAAAAUGCGCCCCUCAGUUUUGGCACUAUCUGUACAUGGGUUUCUAAAGUACUACAGAGAAAUAGUAUCACUGAGUGAGUGGGCUCUACUUAGGUUGGUUGUUUCUCCCCAGCCAGCCGAACUUCUACAGAACAGGGUUUAGGAAGCUCAGGAAAUUCACACCUGCUACAUGUCACACCAAACAUAAUACAGGAACAGCCAUACCGAGUCAGGGCCUCAAAUCAUCCUUUUAAGUCUCUGUUUGUGACUGUCCCCAGAGCUGAAGGCCUCAAUAAAGCACAACCAGCAAUUUUAGCAGAAGCCUUUCCCUGGGCUGCCCUCCCAUCUAUUGGCACUCCACAGCUCACCAGUCUCCUGACCUAAAAGUUGCAAACAAGCUGCUUGCUGUUUCCCACCCAGAAAGCUUCACACUGUUUUGGAACAGCACAUGUCUUCCAUGUUUGCAGUAAGUCCCCAUGCCAGGUCCAAAGCAGGACUCACUGUGGACUCGCUCUGCAUUUGGUGUCAGUGGGUUUAGAAACACAUUCCUCAAGUGCAGCACACUACUAGGGUUCUUGCAGUUCAGGGAUUAAAACAGCUGCAAAGGCUCACUCUGAUCAGAGUGAAUCUAUUUUAUGUAUUCUCCAAGAAGUUUAAUCUUCUAUUUUUUUAAAGAACAGAUUGCUCUCAUUUUGGCAGAAAAACUUGUGUAAGGAGCUCUGGGACAAACAAUAGCAAACUUGGAAUGCUUAAUUUUGAAGCAGGAUUUACUAUUCUUUUUACCCUACAAACUCAGUCUAUGAAGGGGUAAAACAUGGUUGCUUAAAAUAAUUGUAAUUACUCCUCCAGUUGAAUCCAAUCAGGUGGAAUGGAUACUUAAGCAGAGUGUUAAUUAUGAUACCACCGAUGCUAGAGAAAGAAACCUAACUAAAAUCUAAGGCUACGUUCAGUUUACUGCAUGGAUUACACACAGGAUUACACUUUAAAACCACUGCAAGGUUGAAUGAUUUGUUUCAAUCCAAAUACCAUUUUUUUGCACAGUAUUAAGGGAAAUUUUGGAACUGGUAAGCAAGGUAGUCCACAGGAUUGUCCGCAGAGUACUUUGAAUUUGCAAGUAACCAUUUGUAAAUACCAUUUUGUAGACACCAAAACAGAAGCAGCAGCUGGACAUUGAACCUAAAUUAUUUUCAGUUAGGCUGAUGCAAGCAUGCAUACUGCUUUCGUUAGCUGAGACUACUCCAGCAUGUAAGACAACUUGAAGAGAGUUCAUGGCAGAUUACCACCCUUGAAGUUUAGAUUAAUGCUCCAUAUUUAGAACAAAGAUGCACUGGAGGAAUAAUUUUUAAAAAAUUAUUCCAACUCCAGCUUUCUAUGAUUCUAACUACUAGCAACCAUUAGCAACUUGCAAGGCUUGCAGGAAUUCUCAGUCUGAAUGCAACACAACUCCAAAGCUUUUCCUUCUGCAUGGCAGUAGUACUCACUGACCUCAGCCAGAAUUUCUGAGGUUCUCUACUGUUGUUGAGAUCUCUCUUUGUUGCAUUAACUGAUUCUGCCUCAAAAGGGAAAGUGCCCUUUAUAGGCAGAUUAAAACUUUCAAUUCUCUGUGGUAAUUAUUAAAUGAAUCAUGAAACUAAGGCUGCCAGCUGUGCCACGUUAAAUUGCACUCUCCCACGUUCAACAUUCUCUUGCUGAGCUUAGCUCAGAAAGUUUGUCAUUGGAUUUCCAUGAAUUUUCCAAGUAUUGAAGUUUGCUUUUAAAUUCUCUUGCAAUCAUGCAAUCCACACAAUAAGACUAAGCACUGUAAUUUGAUUAACAGAAAAUGAAAAUGAGCUAUCUAGAAAACAGUUUUAGUGGUGAUAUAUUGGCUAACUUCUGUGUGGCUCAUUUUGCAUCACUGUGCUCAGAAAUAAAAUGAAGUCUUUGAAAAUUAAAGCCAGAAAAAUCUCGCCCCAAACCAAGACUCUGAAAUGUAAAAUUAUUAGUUCAAGCUGAGUGAUAAAUGGCAGAAGUUUUCUGUUUUCCACAAUGGUGUAAACAGCUAGUUCAGCAGUGUUGUUGCUAUUGUUACGUAUUUAAAGUUGAAACCUGCUAUUAUAUAUCACAUUACAAAAAAGAGCUCUAGGUUAGACAACAUUUCAGCUUUUCUGUUCCUUAGACUUGGAUCUCAGGCCUAAAGGGAAUAUAUGUAAGACUGUAGGUUAUCACAUUUUACAUAAUAAUUUUGUCCCGUAUAUCUUGAUGGGUGGGGUGUAAAGCUAUUUUUCCCUACUCUCCUGAACAUGCUAGAAUAGUGGAUUUACAUCUUGAUUUUCCGUGCAUCUGUAGAAACAUUCAUUGUACCACACAUCACGUUUCGAGAUCUGGAUAUGCUACAUCGUAUUCUGUCUGAACUCAGGUUGUCCAUUAUCAUAGAAUCACAGCAUCACCAAGGUUGGAAAAGACCUCUAAGAUCAUCCAGUCCAACCAUCCACGUAUCACCAGUAUUUUCCACUAAACCAUGUACCCUGAUACAGCACCUAAACAUUUCUUGAACACAACUGUUCUCUUAUUAUUCUCUUGAAGCCAAAACUACCUGAAAAAUGCUGUGGCUUGGAAAAUGCACAUUUUAUCAUUGAGAUGUCACAUGAGACUUCGUCGGAAUUACUGUGAACUGCACAACCCUACUAAUUGCUUUUAAAAUAGUACCACUGAAAGUCAUCUGCUGAGCCAGCCUUGCAAGGCACAUUGAGCUCUGAGUGCUGAAGUGUGUGGCACAGGCAAGUCCCACCAUGGAAACAUGAUUCGAGACCUUCAACAGGAGGAAAUAUCUUCCAGCAGGGAGAGAUAAAGAGGAGCACUGCAUCACUCACAGUUUCUCUGCCAAGGGAAGCCUUCAGGAAGCAGUCUUCCUUUUGCUCAGAAAAUACGAAACAACGCUAUGAAAGCAAUUUAAGGAACUAUCUGGGAAGCAGCUUAAGGAAAAACACCACCUCUCCCAUGUAGACAGUUAAGGCACUGUGUUUACAAGAUGCGUGCUGAGCUCCCCUCUGGCUUAGCUGAGUGGAAGAAGAUGACCAGUCUAAAUAUAGUAAAAGGAGAUGCAGUGUGUUACAUACAGCCCAUGUAGCUUGUUCAGUCGAGAUUAAUUCAAUGAGGCAGACAGGAAGGUGACAUGCAUGGCUGGAGUGUCUUGGUCAUUUUAAAAUCAGUGUUUUACAUCUAGAUUUCCACUGCCCUAGAAUUCUUUGAACUGUUUCUACGCUUGAUAUGAUUUUCCCAUAUGAAGUGUUCAAGACCUAAGAAAAUGUAACAGAAAGGGCCUCUUAAAUCUACAUAACUCACUCUGCAAAUACAGGACUGGUCUAUAAACCUGCCCACUUCAAGGCUAUUGCACACAUUCCCUGUUUUAGAACCUGCAGAGCCAGUAUCCUCACUCUCUAUUCUUAGCUCAACGUUUCAUACAUCUUAUAAAAGCUGCCUAGAUGUGCACUCAAAAAUCACUCCAUUUUAAUUUGAACCCAGUUUAAGUUAUUGAGUAGCCAGAUGCAAUUAAUCAAACAAUACCUCUCUCCCUGAUGAGAUGACAUUCUCCACGCAUCACUCACAUCUUCCUAACGAGAGGGGCCUAGUUCAAGAUAGGUAUUUAUACAGUAACUGACAUCUCUGUUGAUAAUAAACUUACACUAAACGAGCUUUUCGAAAUCAUAAAUCUCUAUCUUAAAGUGUUCAUCCCCUUUUCAUUCCUACUGAACUGAGAGGCCAGCAAGCUUGCAGUGUGUUUCAUAACUUUGAUUGCUCGUGCUGUUCACUUUCUGAUAAACUAGAGAAUCACCAUUUCUCUUUUGUCUGAGGCAUAUUUUAAGUAGAGCUUGUUAGGAUGAGGAGAUGAUAACCCAGCUGCCUGCUCACAUUUUCUCACAACACAAAACAACACAGUAGUAACCUAUUUGUUGCAUUUCCUGCUUAAACACAUGGAUCCAUUUUGGAAAGAGUUAAAGGAAAUUUUAAAGUUGCUGAUACUCUUGGAAGCUGCUGAUUCUGCUCUGGGCUACAACAGCUUAUGAAAGGAGGACAACAGAGAUCAGACCAGAAAAGAAAGGAAAAGGACAGGGAGGUGAUGGAGAGAUGGCAGAGCUGUGAGGCAACGCAUUCUGUAAACUGUUUCCUCCUGUGACUUGCUGGAAGGUAUAAUCAGUCAUCCGCUGCUCGUUUUUGUGUGUAUGGUGUGUGUGUGUGUGUGCAUGUUUUUUUUAAACACCCAUUGCAAUCCCUCAAGACUACACUCCUAGUUUUACUUUUUUUGGUGGUGAUAGUGUAUGUUUGUGUAAGGGGUGUCAGGGGACUGAAAUUGUGAUACCAACUAGCAAUUUGGGUGUGUGGGUGAAAAUUAACUGUUGUAGUUGGUUAUUUUAUGGGCCCAAAAUAUGGCUGUUAAAAACCCCAACAUUCACCAUAUGAGCUUUCUGUAUCCAGACCAUAAAAUGUCUGGGAUACAUAGACGGGAUCCAAGCCGACUUCCUGCCAUGAAAUUGUGCUUCACUAAUGAUCACUCCAGCCUGUUUUCUAAACUUGGAGACCUCUUGUUUUCCCUAGAGGAUACUACAUUGUUUGUCUUUGGGAAAAAGUGUUUGUGUGCUACAAUUACGAAGUUUAUAGAACUUAAAAAUUCACCCGAAAUGGGACUACUACUUUACACAUAGUUCAACUUGGGUACGAAAAGGAAAAAUAAAGCUACAUUCAAAAGCUGCAGGAAAGCACAAAGGUAAGGGGUGAAGUUGUUGUCUAUCAAAAAUAUAUUUUAACUAAGUGCUGUCAGUUCUCUGAUGGACAGGAGUCUUUCUCCUUCCCCGCACCCUCGUUAUUCCUCUCUCAAAUGCACCAUUUCCCCAACGUACCCAGACACUGCUUUCCUAAUCAAAUAUUUGAAAAGAUGUCACUUUUAUACUAGGAUAUUCUAUGUAUUAUUAUAUAGAAUAUAUACAAUAACUUACAUAUCCUUUAGUUACAUUAUAUAUACUUAUAUAUGCUAGAUACUGCACCUUCUGAACUGCUGUUCAGUGAGCCUCUAUGGAGAGGCUUCUGAAACUGCAUCUCCGCUAUCUGAUGGAUUGCAACCCAAAGAUCUCAGUUGAAAGUACUCAUGCAAUAUGCAAAGAGACUUCGUACAAAGCAAAACAGAAUAAAAUUUUAAAUGCAAAAAUA